AAUGGCGUAGUCACCCUACCAGCUAAAGAGGACAUCUUGAAGUGGAAAACUGGAACAUCAGCACUGGACACUGCAAGGCUUCAUGCAGAAAGAGAAGUGGCUAAAGAGGAAAACUCAUAUGCUGCACUUUUAAAUACCUCAAAUCAACUCCAAAUAGCCCUCCAGAAGUAUUCAAUUAUAGCAACAGAGAGAGAGAGGAAAUAGAAUACGCUGACUUCCAUUGGA
Molecule: long non-coding RNA, 225 nt
Organism: Gavia stellata (red-throated loon)
Lineage: Eukaryota; Metazoa; Chordata; Aves; Gaviiformes; Gaviidae
Exons: 3
Source: RefSeq, a predicted model, not a curated record